GGGAGUAGUUCAUACGUUCCGUCUACGAUAUUCACUUCUACAUGAGAUGCAUAUGCAAUAGUUCAAUUUUCCAUGCUUUCACAUGCAGGAUGCAAAACAUGAAUUAUUGCUGAACUGUAAAUUUGCAUUUUGAUCACAUUCACCUAAACAUGGUUCUAAACUUUCAUUAUCUUCAUGAAGUAAGGAGUGCUGUGAUAUAAAAUCGGGGUUGACUUUGAUGGUGAUUGUGU
This 230-nucleotide long non-coding RNA is filed under the name Setaria viridis. RNAcentral describes it as "long non-coding RNA (SVIR_LNC009344)". Lineage: Eukaryota; Viridiplantae; Streptophyta; Magnoliopsida; Poales; Poaceae. The record is from RNAcentral.